UGGGGGAUAUUGCACAAUGGGCGAAAGCCUGAUGCAGCGACGCCGCGUGGGGGAUGAAGGCUUUCGUGUUGUAAACCUCUUUCGCUAUCGAACAAGGCCCGCUUAGGGUUGGUUGAGGGUAGGUGGAGAAGAAGCGCCGGCUAACUACGUGCCAGCAGCCGCGGUAAUACGUAGGGCGCGAGCGUUGUCCGGAAUUAUUGGGCGUAAAGGGCUUGUAGGCGGCUUGUUGCGCCUGCUGUGAAAACGCGGGGCUUAACUUCGCGCGUGCAGUGGGUACGGGCAGGCGUGAGUGUGGUAGGGGUGACUGGAAUUCCAGGUGGAGCGGUGGAAUGCGGAGAUAUCUGGAGGAACACCGAUGGCGAAGGCAGGUCACUGGGCCAUUACUGACGCUGAGGAGCGAAAGCAUGGGUAGCGAACAGG
RNAcentral lists this ribosomal RNA (420 nucleotides) under Chloroflexota bacterium. RNAcentral's name for it is "Chloroflexi bacterium partial 16S ribosomal RNA". It matches the Rfam family "Bacterial small subunit ribosomal RNA", at positions 355 to 776 of the family's 1533-position model. Lineage: Bacteria; Bacillati; Chloroflexota. The record is from RNAcentral.